RNAcentral lists this non-coding RNA (29 nucleotides) under Rattus norvegicus (Norway rat). The record is from RNAcentral. Lineage: Eukaryota; Metazoa; Chordata; Mammalia; Rodentia; Muridae.
UGCGAGAGAAACGCUUGUUCCGUCUCGGU